Gopherus flavomarginatus (Mexican gopher tortoise) is the source of this 560-nucleotide long non-coding RNA. RefSeq lists it as uncharacterized. The record is from RefSeq and is a predicted model, not a curated record. Lineage: Eukaryota; Metazoa; Chordata; Testudines; Testudinidae. The transcript is spliced from 2 exons.
UAAAUCUACUCCCCCUUCUCCCUACACCAUCAUCUCAUUCACACAGUGAGACCCUUCAAUUCUGUUCCUAGAAGCAUUUCAGAGAAUGCUACUGUUAUAAACAGAUAGUUAAGGGUUAAUGUCUCUUACCUGUAAAGGGUUAACAAGCUCAGUGAACCUGGCUGACACCUGACCAAAGGACCAAUCAGGGGAUAAGAUACUUUCAAAUCUUGGUGGAGAGAAGUCUUUGUUUGUGCUGUUUGUUUUGUUCUUUGUUCUCAGAGUUAAGGGGCCAGACGUGCAACCAGAUCUUUCUCCAAUCUUUCUGAAACAGUCUCUCAUGUUCAAAAUAGUGAGUAUUAGAUAGAAGGCGGAUUAGUCUUUAUGGUUGUUUUCUUUAUUUGCAAAUGUGUUUUUGCUGGAUGGAUAUUUUACCUGUUUGCUGUAACUUGUAUCUUAAGCUAGAGGGGAGGGAAUCCCUCUAGCCUAUGUAAAGCUAAAGACCCUGUAAACAUUUUCCAUCUUGAUUUUACAGAGAAUUUUUUUUUAUUUCUUUAAUUAAAAGCUUUCUUUUUUCAGAA